GACGAACGCUGGCGGCGUGCUUAACACAUGCAAGUCGAACGGAAAGGCCCUGCUUUUGUGGGGUGCUCGAGUGGCGAACGGGUGAGUAACACGUGAGUAACCUGCCCUUGACUUUGGGAUAACUUCAGGAAACUGGGGCUAAUACCGGAUAGGAGCUCCUGCUGCAUGGUGGGGGUUGGAAAGUUUCGGCGGUUGGGGAUGGACUCGCGGCUUAUCAGCUUGUUGGUGGGGUAGUGGCUUACCAAGGCUUUGACGGGUAGCCGGCCUGAGAGGGUGACCGGCCACAUUGGGACUGAGAUACGGCCCAGACUCCUACGGGAGGCAGCAGUGGGGAAUAUUGCACAAUGGGCGGAAGCCUGAUGCAGCAACGCCGCGUGCGGGAUGACGGCCUUCGGGUUGUAAACCGCUUUCGCCUGUGAGGAAGCGUGAGUGACGGUAAUGGGUAAAGAAGCACCGGCUAACUACGUGCCAGCAGCCGCGGUGAUACGUAGGGUGCGAGCGUUGUCCGGAUUUAUUGGGCGUAAAGGGCUCGUAGGUGGUUGAUCGCGUCGGAAGUGUAAUCUUGGGGCUUAACCCUGAGCGUGCUUUCGAUACGGGUUGACUUGAGGAAGGUAGGGGAGAAUGGAAUUCCUGGUGGAGCGGUGGAAUGCGCAGAUAUCAGGAGGAACACCAGUGGCGAAGGCGGUUCUCUGGGCCUUUCCUGACGCUGAGGAGCGAAAGCGUGGGGAGCGAACAGGCUUAGAUACCCUGGUAGUCCACGCUGUAAACGGUGGGUACUAGGUGUGGGGUCCAUUCCACGGGUUCCGUGCCGUAGCUAACGCUUUAAGUACCCCGCCUGGGGAGUACGGCCGCAAGGCUAAAACUCAAAGGAAUUGACGGGGCCCCGCACAAGCGGCGGAGCAUGCGGAUUAAUUCGAUGCAACGCGUAGAACCUUACCUGGGUUUGACAUGGAUCGGGAGUGCUCAGAGAUGGGUGUGCCUCUUUUGGGGUCGGUUCACAGGUGGUGCAUGGCUGUCGUCAGCUCGUGUCGUGAGAUGUUGGGUUAAGUCCCGCAACGAGCGCAACCCUUGUUCACUGUUGCCAGCACGUUAUGGUGGGGACUCAGUGGAGACCGCCGGGGUCAACUCGGAGGAAGGUGGGGAUGACGUCAAGUCAUCAUGCCCCUUAUGUCCAGGGCUUCACGCAUGCUACAAUGGCUGGUACAGAGAGUGGCGAGCCUGUGAGGGUGAGCGAAUCUCGGAAAGCCGGUCUCAGUUCGGAUUGGGGUCUGCAACUCGACCUCAUGAAGUCGGAGUCGCUAGUAAUCGCAGAUCAGCAACGCUGCGGUGAAUACGUUCCCGGG
This 1343-nucleotide ribosomal RNA is filed under the name uncultured bacterium. RNAcentral describes it as "16S ribosomal RNA". It matches the Rfam family "Bacterial small subunit ribosomal RNA", at positions 28 to 1378 of the family's 1533-position model. The record is from RNAcentral.